GACGAACGCUGGCGGCGUGCUUAACACAUGCAAGUCGAACGGAAAGGCCCUGCUUGCAGGGUACUCGAGUGGCGAACGGGUGAGUAACACGUGGGUGAUCUGCCCUGCACUUCGGGAUAAGCUUGGGAAACUGGGUCUAAUACCGGAUAGGAACCAUCUUUAGUGUGGUGGUUGGAAAGUUUUUUCGGUGUAGGAUGAGCUCGCGGCCUAUCAGCUUGUUGGUGGGGUAAUGGCCUACCAAGGCGGCGACGGGUAGCCGGCCUGAGAGGGUGUACGGCCACAUUGGAACUGAGCUACGGCCCAGACUCCUACGGAAGGCAGCAGUGGGGAAUAUUGCACAAUGGGCGCAAGCCUGAUGCAGCGAGGCCGCGUGGGGGAUGAAGGCCUUCGGGUUGUAAACUCCUUUCGCUAGGGACGAAGCUUUGUUGUGACGGUACCUAGAUAAGAAGCACCGGCUAACUACGUG
RNAcentral lists this ribosomal RNA (466 nucleotides) under uncultured bacterium. RNAcentral's name for it is "partial 16S ribosomal RNA". It matches the Rfam family "Bacterial small subunit ribosomal RNA", at positions 28 to 507 of the family's 1533-position model. The record is from RNAcentral.